This 453-nucleotide ribosomal RNA is filed under the name uncultured Prevotellaceae bacterium. RNAcentral describes it as "bacterial SSU rRNA". It matches the Rfam family "Bacterial small subunit ribosomal RNA", at positions 341 to 792 of the family's 1533-position model. The record is from RNAcentral. Lineage: Bacteria; Pseudomonadati; Bacteroidota; Bacteroidia; Bacteroidales; Prevotellaceae.
ACGGAAGGCAGCAGUGAGGAAUAUUGGUCAAUGGGCGGGAGCCUGAACCAGCCAAGUAGCGUGCAGGAUGACGGCCCUACGGGUUGUAAACUGCUUUUGCGCAGGGAUAAAAAAGCCCACGUGUGGGCUCUUGCAGGUACUGCGUGAAUAAGGACCGGCUAAUUCCGUGCCAGCAGCCGCGGUAAUACGGAAGGUCCGAGCGUUAUCCGGAUUUAUUGGGUUUAAAGGGUGCGCAGGCGGAGAUGCAAGCCAGCCGUAAAAUCGUGGGGCUCAACCCCAUUCAGCGGUUGGAACUUCAUCCCUUGAUUGCGGCAGAGGGAGGUGGAACUCGUGGUGUAGCGGUGAAAUGCAUAGAUAUCACGAAGAACUCCGAUUGCGAAGGCAGCCUCCUGGACCGUAAAUGACGCUCAUGCACGAAGGCGCGGGUAUCAAACAGGAUUAGAUACCCUGGUA